RNAcentral lists this ribosomal RNA (422 nucleotides) under uncultured archaeon. Its description in RNAcentral is "partial 16S ribosomal RNA". It matches the Rfam family "Archaeal small subunit ribosomal RNA", at positions 323 to 746 of the family's 1478-position model. The record is from RNAcentral.
CUACGGGUUGCUGCAGGCGAGAAAACUUUGCAAUGUGCGAAAGCACGACAAGGUUAAUCCGAGUGGUUUGUGCUAAACGAACCUUUUGACAGUCCUAGAAACACUGUUGAAUAAGGGGUGGGCAAGUUCUGGUGUCAGCCGCCGCGGUAAAACCAGCACCUCAAGUGGUCAGGAUGAUUAUUGGGCCUAAAGCAUCCGUAGCCGGCUCUGUAAGUUUUCGGUUAAAUCUGUACGCUCAACGUACAGGCUGCCGGGAAUACUGCAGAGCUAGGGAGUGGGAGAGGUAGACGGUACUCGGUAGGAAGGGGUAAAAUCCUUUGAUCUAUUGAUGACCACCUGUGGCGAAGGCGGUCUACCAGAACACGUCCGACGGUGAGGGAUGAAAGCUAGGGGAGCAAACCGGAUUAGAUACCCGUGUAGUC